UAUCUCUCAUUUGAGCAACUCUUCAUCUAUGUUGUGCAUGCCAAACCGUGUUAGCUUGUUUCCUUGCAUUUUGGUGGCUAUUUUCGUAUGACUUCGACGGAGUUCAAACCUCGUGUCAUCAUUUAUGUGUUGUGGUAACCCAAAGGAUGAGCUAGUUAGUGUCAACACAAACAAUGUAUGAUUUUUCCAUGAAAGAUAUAAGAAGUCAUCUUGUAAGUUUAUGUUGUUAAAUAUGAUCCUUUAUGAUGACUUGUCAGGAUUAACUGGGCAUUUUAACUGAACAAUAGACAUUUCUUAUGAAAUAUGACUGAUGAAGUACAUAUCAUUUUCAGCUGCUUUUGAUUUGAUGAAAUAAGCCAAUUUUAAGGUUGGGAUUGUGGUUACUCCUCCUGUGCAACAUUUCCUUUAAUCUUUUACUAGCCAAGCUAUCCAUGCAUUUUUUUUUAUCUUUUGUGGUGUGGAAAUGCUUGAUAAUUGUUGCUAUUCAAACAAUAACUUCUUUUCAUUUGAAACUUAUUCUUGUUUCUUGUUACCCAUAGAACUUUGACAAGUUCCCUUCUUGUUAGAGUUACAUGCAAUGCAUAAUUGUGAAGGAUGAAGUACAAAAAUAUGAAAGGUUUUCAUCUCCAGACAUUAAUUUUUCUUCAAAAAAAAGAAAAGAUAUAACAUUUUAAAAUAUGCAGACUAAACGAGGAAUUCUUUUCACACUUGCGAUUUGAAAUAGGGCAACUCCGGUUUGCUGUUUCAAAAACUGAGGAUAUGGAAGAUAGAUUGAUUGAGCUCGAAGCACUGCAAAAGGCUUUACAGGAAGGAACAGAAGCUUAUGAUAAAAUGCAAGCUGAACUCAUAAAGGCAAAGGAAAGCCUAACCAAAAUCUUAUCAUCGAAGGACGUAACAACAACUUUGCUAGAGAUGGUUGAGCGGAAUGAGCUCAAUAGAUCCUUAUUGGCACUUCUUGACGAAAACAUAGCAAAUGCACAUAAGGGUGACCAGGUAGAGGUCGUCUUUUCUAUGCAAAUACAAUUCUAGUAAUUGCGCUCUAUUUCUUCUAUAUAUAUGAUGCUCUGUACUUGCUCCACUAACUCCAAUGAAGAAACUAGCAGCAGCAUUCAUGGAAAAGCUUCGUGGGGCUAUGCUGAAAUACAUGACUGUUUAAUAUUCAGGUGGUAAAUAUUAAGUUAUUCUUUCCAUUAUUGACAGAUAAACACAAGUUUGCUAUUACUGUUGACCUUACUGCAUCAGAUAAUUAUAGUUAUUUGAUGAUCCUAGAAAACAGGAAAUCAGCUUAUGACCUUAUUGUCCUCAAACAGAAAAAAAAUAAAAUAAGAUUUUUUGUUCUUCAAAACUUGAAAUCGUAGGCAUCACCACUGAUUAUAUUAGAAGUUGCAGGAAACAAAAGAAGCCAAAAUUGAUUGCUUUCAAUUGCGAUGUAAUAUUGUUAGUAAUUUACAUUUCAGUGGUAUUAACUAUUGAUUA
This is a non-coding RNA of Camellia sinensis, 1476 nucleotides long. Lineage: Eukaryota; Viridiplantae; Streptophyta; Magnoliopsida; Ericales; Theaceae. The record is from RefSeq and is a predicted model, not a curated record.